Molecule: ribosomal RNA, 495 nt
Filed under: uncultured bacterium
Lineage: Bacteria
Description: partial 16S ribosomal RNA
Rfam family: Bacterial small subunit ribosomal RNA
Source: RNAcentral
GACGAACGCUGGCGGCGUGCCUAAUACAUGCAAGUAGAACGCUGAAGGAGGAGCUUGCUUCUCUGGAUGAGUUGCGAACGGGUGAGUAACGCGUAGGUAACCUGCCUGGUAGCGGGGGAUAACUAUUGGAAACGAUAGCUAAUACCGCAUAACAGUAGAUAUCGCAUGAUAUCUACUUGAAAGGUGCAAUUGCAUCACUACCAGAUGGACCUGCGUUGUAUUAGCUAGUUGGUGAGGUAACGGCUCACCAAGGCGACGAUACAUAGCCGACCUGAGAGGGUGAUCGGCCACACCGGGACUGAGACACGGCCCAGACUCCUACGGGAGGCAGCAGUAGGGAAUCUUCGGCAAUGGACGGAAGUCUGACCGAGCAACGCCGCGUGAGUGAAGAAGGUUUUCGGAUCGUAAAGCUCUGUUGUAAGAGAAGAACGAGUGUGAGAGUGGAAAGUUCACACUGUGACGGUAUCUUACCAGAAAGGGACGGCUAACUACGUG